GAUGAACGCUGGCGGCAUGCCUAAUACAUGCAAGUCGGACGAGGAUGUUUCUACAUCCUAGUGGCGAACGGGUGAGUAACACGUAGGGAACCUGCCCCUAAGACGAGGAUAACUACUGGAAACGGUAGCUAAUACUGGAUAGGAUAAGUUGACGCAUGUUGGCUUAUUUAAAGGUGCCUAUAAAGCACCGCUUAGGGAUGGCCCUGCGGCGCAUUAGCUAGUUGGUGGGGUAACGGCCUACCAAGGCGACGAUGCGUAGCUGUGCUGAGAGGCAGAACAGCCACACUGGGACUGAGACACGGCCCAGACUCCUACGGGAGGCAGCAGUAGGGAAUUUUCGGCAAUGGGGGAACCCUGACCGAGCGAUGCCGCGUGAGUGAUGAAGGUCUUCGGACUGUAAAACUCUGUUAUUAGGGAAGAAUACUAUAGGGAGAAUGCCUUAUAGAUGACGGUACCUAAUGAGGAAGCCCCGGCAACUAUGUGCCAGCAGCCGCGGU
RNAcentral lists this ribosomal RNA (497 nucleotides) under uncultured bacterium. Its description in RNAcentral is "bacterial SSU rRNA". It matches the Rfam family "Bacterial small subunit ribosomal RNA", at positions 28 to 521 of the family's 1533-position model. The record is from RNAcentral.